Molecule: ribosomal RNA, 253 nt
Filed under: uncultured bacterium
Lineage: Bacteria
Description: partial 16S ribosomal RNA
Rfam family: Bacterial small subunit ribosomal RNA
Source: RNAcentral
UACAGAGGGUGCGAGCGUUGUCCGGAAUCACUGGGCGUAAAGAGCUCGUAGGCGGCUUGUCACGUCGGGUGUGAAAGCCCGGGGCUUAACCCCGGGUCUGCAUUCGAUACGGGCUAGCUAGAGUGUGGUAGGGGAGAUCGGAAUUCCUGGUGUAGCGGUGAAAUGCGCAGAUAUCAGGAGGAACACCGGUGGCGAAGGCGGAUCUCUGGGCCGAUACUGACGCUGAGGAGCGAAAGCGUGGGGAGCGAACAGG